Molecule: ribosomal RNA, 446 nt
Filed under: uncultured bacterium
Lineage: Bacteria
Description: partial 16S ribosomal RNA
Rfam family: Bacterial small subunit ribosomal RNA
Source: RNAcentral
CCUACGGGUGGCAGCAGUCGAGAAUCAUUCACAAUGGGGGAAACCCUGAUGGUGCGACGCCGCGUGGGGGAAUGAAGGUCUUCGGAUUGUAAACCCCUGUCAUGUGGGAGCAAAUUAAAAAGAUAGUACCACAAGAGGAAGAGACGGCUAACUCGGUGCCAGCAGCCGCGGUAAUACAGAGGUCUCAAGCGUUGUUCGGAAUCACUGGGCGUAAAGCGUGCGUAGGCUGUUUCGUAAGUCGUGUGUGAAAGGCGCGGGCUCAACCCGCGGACGGCACAUGAUACUGGGAGACUAGAGUAAGGGAGGGGGAACCGGAAUUCUCGGUGUAGCAGUGAAAUGCGUAGAUAUCGAGAGGAACACUCGUGGCGAAGGCGGGUUCCUGGACAUUAACUGACGCUGAGGCACGAAGGCCAGGGGAGCGAAAGGGAUUAGAUACCCUGGUAGUC